GUUUAAUGAUGUGAACAUCUCGAGGCUAAAAAUGCUGACGUACCGUUUUGAUUAGAGCAGAGCUGGUGGCUUGCACGUUGUGGCGAGUUUGCGGCGGAGGUCGCUUUCAGUAACAGCAGCCUUAGCAGGUGGGUGAAUGAUGGUCUGUACACUGAUCCGCAGGCCUUGUUGUGAACAAUCAUACAACUUUGUGUCUGGUGGUUGCUCGACCCAAUCGUAAGUACGCCUCUCUCUUUUUCACAUCGGGGCUUGUUAGAUGUAAUUUAACUGUCUUUUUGUUAAGGUAAGCGUGGGGAGUUGAAAAUCUAAUCCUAAAACAAAUCUUUAGCCUAAGAUGCUAUAUGUGACGUUUCUGCUGCUUGCUCACAGGCAUUUGUUUCUGCUGCUUGCUCACGGGCAUUUGUUUUGCGGUUAUGCUUUGCAGCUUGCUUGGGCUGUCCAGUUAUGAGCCUCGUGUUCGCUGUGCUGCAUAUCAGCUCCUGUUUGGGUUGUUUGUUUCCCAUUUGUGCUGUGUCCCUUUUUGUUUUCUUUAAUCGUUGCUAUAGUGUUAAGUUAUCUUGUGGCUAUUGUUUUGUUUUUUUUUUUCUUUUUAGGUUGAGUAAAUUUGUUUUGUGACCACAUAGUGUAAGAGCCGGUUUGUUUAAUUGGUGCAUGUCUCUGCCUCAAACCUGUUAUUUCAGGAGCCAGUGAGGUCUUUGUGAGGAGCAGGAGAGGCUAGCUGUCUUGAUUUAGUGGUGUGCUUCACAAGUGUGUUAAGUGUGCCGACACAACUUUAUAGUGUGUGUGUGGCUGCCAUAUUACUAUGCCCAAACAUUCCAAUGUCCCUAUUGACUUAAUAUAAGUAAUCUAAUUUCUGCAAGUAAACAUUAGUCAUUUAAUCACCAAUUUUAGAUCUGAAAUCUGCAUGUACAUCCCUACAACUCAAACAUCGUACACAUGUACUUUAUUUAUUUAAAAUCUGAAAUUUUCAGUUUCUUGAAAGCCCAAGCGAGUUAUGCGUAUCUAUAUGGAACAGUCAACUGUUAUGUCGAACGGGCCACGACUUGCUCUAAAAUUUAUAAAUGGCAAAUUUACAAACUUAUGUCUCUUUCUUUUUUCAGUGAUUAUAUAAUAUAUUUUUCAUAGAUUUCAAAGAUUCCAUCAGACUAAUGGUGUUCAUAUUACCAGGCUGUGUGGCCAGUGCUAUUUACACUAAGUGCAGGUAAUUAUUUGUUUUUACUGUUAUGUCUUUUUAUAUUGUUGAUAAUUGGUUUAGGCAUAGGGGUUGGAUUAGGUGCUCAUAAAUACAGUAUCUAUAUCCUGGCCCCAUUUCCGUUCACGUGAUUGGAUUUGGACAUCCCUACCACGUAUGUUUUAAUAAUAAUACCAAAUAAAAUAUAUAUAUAUAUA
This is a long non-coding RNA of Xyrauchen texanus (razorback sucker), 1389 nucleotides long. RefSeq lists it as uncharacterized. The transcript has 3 exons. The record is from RefSeq and is a predicted model, not a curated record. Lineage: Eukaryota; Metazoa; Chordata; Actinopteri; Cypriniformes; Catostomidae.